CCCGACCGCGAGCGUGCCAAGCGGCUUCAGCAGCUAGCGGAGCGGUGGCGGCGGCCCCCCUCAGGACACCACCAGAUUCCCCUUUUCCCGCGGCCUCGCCAUGGCGACCCACGGACAGACUUGCGCGCGUCCAAUGUGUAUUCCUCCAUCAUAUGCUGACCUUGGCAAAGCUGCCAGAGAUAUUUUCAACAAAGGAUUUGGUUUUGGGUUGGUGAAACUGGAUGUGAAAACAAAGUCUUGCAGUGGCGUGAUAUCACAAUUUCUGGCUGUAGUCUCUUUAUUAUUUUCACAUCAGCUGUCUUCCUUAGGCUUGGCGUGGUGAUGCUUGUGAUCCCAGCUACUCAGGAGGCUGAGGAAUUUUCAACGUCCGGUUCAUCUAAUACAGACACUGGUAAAGUUACUGGGACCUUGGAGACCAAAUACAAGUGGUGUGAGUAUGGUCUGACUUUCACAGAAAAGUGGAACACUGAUAACACUCUGGGAACAGAAAUCGCAAUUGAAGACCAGAUUUGUCAAGGUUUGAAACUGACAUUUGAUACUACCUUCUCACCAAACACAGGAAAGAAAAGUGGUAAAAUCAAGUCUUCUUACAAGAGGGAGUGUAUAAACCUUGGUUGUGAUGUUGACUUUGAUUUUGCUGGACCUGCAAUCCAUGGUUCAGCUGUCUUUGGUUAUGAGGGCUGGCUUGCUGGCUACCAGAUGACCUUUGACAGUGCCAAAUCAAAGCUGACAAGGAAUAACUUUGCAGUGGGCUACAGGACUGGGGACUUCCAGCUACACACUAAUGUGUAAGUAUUUCUUUCAUAGGAUACUGUGAUGUAGGCCCUCAGAGGAUGAUUUUGAUGUCUGU
Molecule: small RNA, 850 nt
Filed under: Pan troglodytes (chimpanzee)
Lineage: Eukaryota; Metazoa; Chordata; Mammalia; Primates; Hominidae
Description: processed transcript
Source: RNAcentral